RNAcentral lists this long non-coding RNA (233 nucleotides) under Panax ginseng (ginseng). Its description in RNAcentral is "long non-coding RNA (PGIN_LNC009585)". The record is from RNAcentral. Lineage: Eukaryota; Viridiplantae; Streptophyta; Magnoliopsida; Apiales; Araliaceae.
AAGAUAAGAAUGAAUGAAAGACUAUUGUAUAAAUACCAUCAAUGUCAAUUUAUUCUCAUAAGAAUAUUGUAUAAAUGGAGAAAGGGAUUUUGGGAACCCAUAUAUUUCCCUUGAAAAAGAUAACCAUAUUACAUUUGCCUAAACUUAAAAUUUUCUUUUUUUACAACCCACCACAUAAAAAAUUGUGAAAAAGAAACUUCAAACAGAUGCCAUCAAGUUUACAUUGAUCUAGC